Molecule: long non-coding RNA, 1172 nt
Filed under: Callithrix jacchus (white-tufted-ear marmoset)
Lineage: Eukaryota; Metazoa; Chordata; Mammalia; Primates; Cebidae
Description: lncRNA (ENSCJAG00000078313.1)
Source: RNAcentral
GGAUGGAUGAUAUAAUUGCACAGUGUGCCUAAAUAUAAACUACAGCGAUGAUAAUAAUUAGAUUAAUUAACCUGGAAAACACUGAACAUAAAGGGAUCUCUGGUCACUAAACAGCUGCCACAGAACCCAGAGUCAGGGGAAAGGGAGACUGUCGCUGUCUGUGUCAGCGACAAGGAGCCUGUUGGCAUGGUGGCUGCAGGUGUCCUCACACAGGGAUGACAUUGGUUCCUGGAGGAGCUGUUUCAGCCUCCUGGCUGAAGAUGCCAAGAGCUGGGAGAUCCCCAAGGUGGAGCCUCUCUCUUAAAAGAUCCAGUGAUAUUGGUAGCAGAACAGGAGGCCUGCCCGGAAAUGAGCCAAGAAGGAUGACUGUGCUGUUUAUCUCUGUGUCAUUGGCAUUGUUUUGGUGCCCCAGCAAAUGCUAGAGGCAUGGGGACAUGCCACACAUUCUGGUGAUGAAAGAGCCCGCUGCCUGUCUUUGCAAACAUAUCACAGCAGCCAAAACUGGCUGAUCUGGCGGUGAUGACUAGCCCCUAUGAGCAAACGCUUUCCCUGGCUGGGUUGUCAGCACUGUCUUGGCACCAUGAUCUGCUGUCAACCUACCACACAGGAAACACUCAAGCCCACAACUUUCACCUUCAACUUCUUCCAAUCUCUUUAAGCCAGCCCCAGGCUCCCCAAAUCCACAGCAUACUAGGGAAUGGACAGAAGGAAACAGAAACCGUGUGGGACCCAGGGUCAGACAUCACUCACUAACUCCAUUACUGGGGUGAGUUAUUGAAACUCUCUGGGCCUCAGUUUCCUCGACCAUAAAAUGGGAAGUAUAGCAAUCACACAGUUUUUUUGUUUUUAAAGGAUCAGGUGAAAUAGUCAUUUAUCACUGUGCCUGGCACACACACGGUGCUUAAUAAUUGUUCAACGGCUUCUCCUCCUUCUUCACCCUUCUGUUGUUGCUAAAACCUAACAGUAAAUUAUCUACAAAGAGUUUUUCCUCAAGGUCAAGAUCCCCACUAACAGUCCCUGAUAUUCUGAGGCCAGGCUUCACAUGCCGGUGACUUUCUAAGGAAUGGCUCCCAAGAGAAAACUAGAAGGAAGAGGGGGACACGUGACAGGGAUGUAGAAGAAGCCAAGCCCAAGUGGAAUCUCAGACAAGGUCUCCUUCAGAUGACUUCAGC